Molecule: long non-coding RNA, 4335 nt
Organism: Mustela putorius furo (domestic ferret)
Lineage: Eukaryota; Metazoa; Chordata; Mammalia; Carnivora; Mustelidae
Source: Ensembl
GGCUUUUUGUUUGUUUUUAGGUGAAGAGGGUUAGCAUAUUUAUAGUCGGAGAAAGGAAUUGGAAUUAGUUACAGGGGAGAGAGAGGAUAAUUAAUAGGUUGAAGUUCCAAAGAGGGAUCAGAGUGCCAGUCCAGCCCUCAUCAGCCCCUGGAACACCCCAAAAUUUAAAAAAAAAAAUGCAUUCUUGUUAUCCCUUCUUGAUUCAUCGAUAUGGCGCUGUACCCUCUCGCUUGGUCUGGGUUUGCAUGUGCAUUCUUGACCUCCUGCUGGAUUCCCCUGACCUUUUACUUUGCCUCUUAUUUCCUUUAGCCUGCUCUUACCCUUAAGGUCUGAUGACGGAUUUAGCUUAUCAGGCACGGAGCCACUGUUCCCCUUGGCGACACUAUUGCUUUCAACCUCAGCUGUUGCAACUCUUGGCCACCUUGAGCAGAGGCCCUGCCAAGCGCCCCCUCCCUGACUCGUCCACGUGGAGGGGAAGUGCUUCCAGAAGGAGCUCGCAGCAAGAGGAUGAAAUCUGGGUGCAGGGGAAGGUGAGCUUGGAGGCCAACAAGGAGGAGGUAUCUAUCUGGGGCAGCUAAAUCUGUUAUGAGGUGUGAAGAAAGAGACAAGGAGAGACAAGAUUUGUUGCUGAAUUAAAAAAAAAAAAACUGCCUAUGUUUCACAUAAGAGACAAAUAAUAAAUGUUUACUAAAUUGACCUAAAUGGACCCGGGAUCAAAGACGUGUUGGCUUAUAGUUGAAAUGCUCCUUGCUGUGGUAUGCAGUUGAAUCAACAGUACUGAGAUCCAGAGCCCUCUACUGUAUUGAGGCACCACGGCUCCCUGUGUUUUAGAAUGCCAGGUUGAAGUCCAAAUAAAGGAAACAGUACCAAGUAAGUGCUAACCCAAUUCCUGCGUCUGGAGAAGUCCUCACCUUGGAGUCUGGUUGGGCGACUCAGACAUUGCUUAUCCUUAAAGCAGAAAUAAAUCAGCGACUGACUUUUUUCACCUCCUCGGGAGCAAGGGCUGAAAGCAACUUGGGAGUCUCCCACCCGGGGACCAGAGAGACUUGGACACGGUCCAGUGCAGUGGACAGAGCCUGUGCUUGCCUGAUCACCCCCAGUCUGCACUCAAGGAGGUAGCAGUGAUGGCUUCUUUAGACCAGCCCUCUGUUGGAAUGGGGGCAUUUUCUAGGUCUGUCACCCUACCCUGACAUCUCCACCCAAAGCCUCAGCGAGCUUGUGAGGGGCCUUUCUGUGCAGAAGAAAAAGCUGCCCCCUCCUGGCAGGGGUGGGUCUCUGCCAGUAUAGGGCCCUUCUGCUCGGGCCCUUUCAGGGGGUCCCGGAGCUAUCCGUGCUCCUUUUCCUAAAUUUCUGUUCUGUCAAAAGCCACCCAAAUUUGCCUUGUGGCUGACAACAACAAACCCCUGCUGAUAUAAUAAGGCUACCACACUUGCCCAGUUAUUUUCAGAGGCCUUUCAUAGUACUAUGUGCCUCUGAAAAAUAGAAUUCUUUUAUUAUAAGACAUAUAUUAUCUGGCGUUACCCCAGGAUCUGUUCUAUACCCCUAAAAUAACAGAACUAGCCAAUGUUUCUACUUAGUUAGCCCUGGUCUACUAACCCAGAGUAUAUCAUUAGCUUAGACCUUUAAAUGUUCAUAUUCAACAAUAUAAAGGGCUCAACUGCCAAUAUCUACAUGAGAUAUUUUAAAAGUUGAGUUUAUCUCACCCUGGGAAGGAGGAAAAGGAAAAGACUAGUGUUACAGCUUGGACCUGGGGGACCCUUAAAGUACACAUGGCACAAACCCAUUCCUGGAAAGAAUAACCUGGGUCACUGCUGACCCCACUCUCUCUGCCACUGAGAGACCCCAGCUUCACUCUUGCUGUGCAUCUUUUCCAAACAUCCUCCGGUCACAAUGCCUACCAUCGCCAGUGAAGGCACACAAGCCUCCCACUAUUGUCAGUGAGCUUACUUCCAGAACACAGUCAAGUCCUACUAAAUCAUGGCGGUCCCCUCCUCCUUUACACCUCCUAUCUGAAUUUCUGUGGGUCCCAUGAAACAUAGGCAGGCAUCUCUGGUCACCUACCAUCCACUGAGGGCUCCUUCCCGUGUUGCUGUUUUCUCUGUCCUAUCUGUUAAACCAAACCCUGAGCUUCUCCCCACCCUCCUACCCAACCCCUGUGAUCUCUGGAAUUCCUGCCCCAUAAUCAUUCAUCUUCCUUACAUUCCACUUCUUUCCUGGACAUUGGCUCUGCUUCCUUGACAUCACUGAAAUAAUCCCCCUGGUGACAUUAGACCCCCUGGAGACUUCACCUGAAGGCUGUUUUUGUGCUUGCCAUUGUCCUUUCUGUAUUCACAGAAAGUGUUAUGGACAAGUGUUGCCAUAGUUACCCAAAACAUGUCUCUCCUUGAGUGCUCCUCUCACCUUCCCAAAGACCUUGAGCUACUAAUGAUCACAACUUCUUUUAUGCAGAUCCUCUGGAGAGGAAACUCUAGCCUCUCCCCUCUUAUUGAUGUGUCAUCGAUAUUGUCUCCCAGGGUGUGGUUUGUCAUUUCAUUCUUUGCAGUGUUUUUUGAUGAACACAAACUCUUAACUGCAAUGUGAUUAAAUCCAUCAAUCAUUUACAGUUAAUGAGCCUUAUAUAAUAUCUACAACAUAACUUUUAUUUACAAUUUAUAGUUUACCUUUAUUUACUUAGGACUAACAUUCAUAAUUUAUGACCUUAAAGCCCUAGUCUAUGAUAUUAUCUUCAUAAUGUUUGAUAAUUUUUGGCUUUCUUAUUUAGAUAUUUGGUCUACCUGAUUAUUUUUUAUUUCUGGUGUGAGAAAGGCAUUCAACUUUGUUUUUGUCUGAAAGGAGGGUCAACUUCCCAGGAUGAUUUAUUGAAAAAAAAAAUCAUAAUUUCCCUACUGACCUGCAGUACUAUAGUGCAUUUGUUAAGGCAUCUAUUUGGGAAGACUAGAUUUUUCUCUGCCUGUACCAACAACUUAUCUUAAUUACUUUAGCUUGGUAGUACUUUAUGUAAGCAAUGUCUACUUGUCAACUCACCUAUUUUUUUCCUUCAAAAGUGUCUUAUUCUUGACUUUUUGCAUUAUGCAAAAUUUAUAAUCAGCUUAUUAAUUUUCAAAAAAGAAAAACCUGUUGGGUAUAUGACUACUUUUUCACUGAAUCAACUUAGAGACAGUCAACCUUUUUUAAACAUUGUUUUCCAAUCAAUAAACAUGGCCUAUCUUCCCAUUUACUUGGGCCUCCUUAAACAUCAUUUAGUAAAGUUUUAUACAUUUACCCAAGAAGUUUUUGCCUCUGUUAUCAUUUUUAUUACUACAUACUUUUUUUCUAUUAUUUUAAAAUCAGAUGUUUAAUUUUAUUGUUCAACUACUGCUGGUCUGUGAAAUGCAUGCCAACAUUUAUUUGAUUUUAUUUCCAGCAAUUUGCUAAAUAAAUUCUCUUGUUAUUUCUACUAAUUUUCUGAAGCAUCUUUUGCAGUGUUUCUGCACAAAACCACAUCAUUUGCAAGUAAUUUCAAUUUUGUUUCUUCCUUUCUAAGCUUUGCAGUUUUACUUUCUUCUCCUUGUCUUCUUCCACAUAGGCAUGCUAAAUUGAAAGAAUUGUGUGGUGUUAUAAGCAGAUGUGUUACACAAGUUCCACUUUUGUAAGCAUUUAUUUGCAAUAGUUCAUUGUUAUUAAGUGGAGAGGUAAACAUAUAAUGAUAAAUGUUCAACAAAACUUUUUAAUGUCAUGUUAAUGAAAACUUCUAAGAUGUUACAGAUGUUACAAUGCUAUCUCAUCUUGACGCCAUUAUGUAAACUUCACAGAACUAUCAAAUUGUGCCUCAUUAAAAAUGCCAUUUGAAGAUUUUUCAUUGGCAAAUGUUGACUACCAUGACAUCUGAUUACCUUGAACUAGCAAGCAAAACUUUGAUGUUAGUAACAUCAUUUUUUACAAUAGAUUAGAGAGUAAGCAUUUGCAUUUGUAUUGUUGCUUAAAAAAAACAAAACAAAACAAAAAGACACAGACUUCAUCUUUCAACUAUUAAGUCAAGCCUUGGCAAUUUAGUUUCUGCAAAACAAUUGUCUUUUACAAUAGUGUAUUAAUGUUCCAAAUUUGAGAUAUAUUUUUCUCCAUGUUUAAUUUGUAAAUUUAUUUGGUCUUAUGUGGUAUAAGAGCAAUGAUUUGUAUAAGAGUGUUUAUGUUUAGUUUUAGUACAUAUUUUAGUAACAUUGUAAUUAAAGUAGCUUAAAUCAGUCCUGGUUGCCUGGUUGAAAUGGUGUCUCAUUUCAUUACUUAACAUUGGAGAAAUUCUGUUCUAAUGAGCUAGGAGACACUCCUUGGUCUCAUUUUGGAGGACCCUAGCUUUGC